Molecule: transfer RNA, 48 nt
Filed under: Goodenia havilandii
Lineage: Eukaryota; Viridiplantae; Streptophyta; Magnoliopsida; Asterales; Goodeniaceae
Description: partial tRNA-Leu
Source: RNAcentral
AAAAUUAUAGUAAAAGGAAAAUCCGUUGAUUUUAAAAAAUCGUGAGGG